AUGCACCGAAGCUGCGGCAGCGACACUAUGUGUUGUUGGGUAGGGGAGCGUUCUGUAAGCCGUUGAAGGUGGCCUGUGAGGGUUGCUGGAGGUAUCAGAAGUGCGAAUGCUGACAUAAGUAACGAUAAAGCGGGUGAAAAGCCCGCUCGCCGGAAGACCAAGGGUUCCUGUCCAACGUUAAUCGGGGCAGGGUGAGUCGACCCCUAAGGCGAGGCCGAAAGGCGUAGUCGAUGGGAAACAGGUUAAUAUUCCUGUACUUGGUGUUACUGCGAAGGGGGGACGGAGAAGGCUAUGUCGGCCGGGCGACGGUUGUCCCGGUUUAAGCAUGUAGGCGGAGGUUCCAGGUAAAUCCGGUACCUUAUUAAACGCUGAGGUGUGAUGACGAGGCACUACGGUGCUGAAGUGACAAAUGCCCUGCUUCCAGGAAAAGCCUCUAAGCAUCAGGUGACACGUAAUCGUACCCCAAACCGACACAGGUGGUCAGGUAGAGAAUACCAAGGCGCUUGAGAGAACCCGGGUGAAGGAACUAGGCAAAAUGGUGCCGUAACUUCGGGAGAAGGCACGCUGAUAUGUAGGUGAAGUGAUUUACUCAUGGAGCUGAAAUCAGUCGAAGAUACCAGCUGGUUGCAACUGUUUAUUAAAAACACAGCACUGUGCAAACACGAAAGUGGACGUAUACGGUGUGACGCCUGCCCGGUGCCGGAAGGUUAAUUGAUGGGGUUAUCCUCACGGAGAAGCUCUUGAUCGAAGCCCCGGUAAACGGCGGCCGUAACUAUAACGGUCCUAAGGUAGCGAAAUUCCUUGUCGGGUAAGUUCCGACCUGCACGAAUGGCGUAAUGAUGGCCAGGCUGUCUCCACCCGGGACUCAGUGAAAUUGAACUCGCUGUGAAGAUGCAGUGUACCCGCGGCAAGACGGAAAGACCCCGUGAACCUUUACUAUAGCUUGACACUGAACACUGGUCCUUGAUGUGCAGGAUAGGUGGGAGGCUUUGAAGUGUGGACGCCAGUCUGCACGGAGCCGUCCUUGAAAUACCACCCUUUAAUGGCUGGUGUUCUAACGUGGGCCCGUAAUCCGGGUUGCGGACAGUGUCUGGUGGGUAGUUUGACUGGGGCGGUCUCCUCCUAAAGAGUAACGGAGGAGCACGAAGGUUGGCUAAUCCUGGUCGGACAUCAGGAGGUUAGUGCAAUGGCAUAAGCCAGCUUGACUGCGAGCGUGACGGCGCGAGCAGGUGCGAAAGCAGGUCAUAGUGAUCCGGUGGUUCUGAAUGGAAGGGCCAUCGCUCAACGGAUAAAAGGUACUCCGGGGAUAACAGGCUGAUACCGCCCAAGAGUUCAUAUCGACGGCGGUGUUUGGCACCUCGAUGUCGGCUCAUCACAUCCUGGGGCUGAAGUAGGUCCCAAGGGUAUGGCUGUUCGCCAUUUAAAGUGGUACGCGAGCUGGGUUUAGA
RNAcentral lists this ribosomal RNA (1448 nucleotides) under Klebsiella indica. RNAcentral's name for it is "Bacterial large subunit ribosomal RNA". It matches the Rfam family "Bacterial large subunit ribosomal RNA", at positions 1189 to 2615 of the family's 2925-position model. Lineage: Bacteria; Pseudomonadati; Pseudomonadota; Gammaproteobacteria; Enterobacterales; Enterobacteriaceae. The record is from Rfam by way of RNAcentral.